CGGCCCAGGGCUCGAGCCUUGCUCCCGCGCGCGGAGCUCGCCGUCCCGCACCCCGAGAGAGCGGGCGGAGGCCAAGGCUCUUGGGAGAAAGCCCCCCCGUCCCCCUCCCUCCAGGGUCGAAGAGAAAGCUUGGGAACGGCCCCGCCCAGCCUCGGAGCCCGGGUCCAGGCUGCAUCAGCAGGGGGGCCAGGGUAGGCGACAAGGUGUGUCCUUGACCGAAAUCUUCGCGGGUCUUUGUCGACCAAAAUCAGCCAAGUGGGAAAACUGCAGCUGCGCCCAAAGAGG
This is a long non-coding RNA of Trichosurus vulpecula (common brushtail), 285 nucleotides long. RefSeq lists it as uncharacterized. The record is from RefSeq and is a predicted model, not a curated record. The transcript has 2 exons. NCBI's taxonomy places the organism in Eukaryota, Metazoa, Chordata, Mammalia, Diprotodontia, Phalangeridae.